This 689-nucleotide ribosomal RNA is filed under the name uncultured Candidatus Tremblayella sp. RNAcentral's name for it is "bacterial SSU rRNA". It matches the Rfam family "Bacterial small subunit ribosomal RNA", at positions 674 to 1359 of the family's 1533-position model. The record is from RNAcentral. Lineage: Bacteria; Pseudomonadati; Pseudomonadota; Betaproteobacteria.
AGUAGCGGUGAAAUGCGUAGAUAUCUGGAGGAAUACCAAAGGCGAAGGCAGUCCCCUGGUCCGAUACUGACACUGAGGUACGAAAGCGUGGGGAGCAAACAGGAUUAGAUACCCUGGUAGUCCACGCCCUAAACGAUGUCGAUUAGCCAUUGGAAGGACCCCUUUUCCUUUCAGUGACGUAGCUAACGCGUUAAAUCGACCGCCUGGGAAGUACGACCGCAAGGUUAAAACUCACAGGAAUUGACGGGGACCUGAACAAGCGGUGAAUGAUGUGGAUUAAUUCGAUGCUACGCGAAGAACCUUACCUACCUUUGACAUGGCCAAAGUUCUACCGAGAGGCGGAAGUACUCGUAAGAGGAUUGGCGCACAGGUGCUGCAUGGUUGUCGUCAGUUCGUGUCGUGAGAUGUUGGGUUCAGUCCCGCAACGAACGCACCCUUAUCUUUAAUUGCUCCUAUUUUAACAGGCACUUUAAAGAAACUGCCAAUGAUAAGUUGGAGGAAGGUGGGGAUCACGUCAAGUCCGCAUGGCCUUUAUAGGUAGGGCUUCACACGUCAUACAAUGGUUAGAACAAAGAGCUGCAAAUUCGUAAGAAGGAGCCAAUCUCACAAACCUAACCUCAGUUCGAAUUGCGGUCUGCAACUCGAGCGCAUGAAGCCGGAAUCGCUAGUAAUCGUGGAUCAGAAUGCCA